This 48-nucleotide non-coding RNA is filed under the name Providencia burhodogranariea. RNAcentral describes it as "Guanidine-II sequence". It matches the Rfam family "Guanidine-II riboswitch aptamer (mini-ykkC)". Rfam says of the family: Simpler in structure and has fewer highly conserved nucleotide positions than the ykkC-yxkD leader. Lineage: Bacteria; Pseudomonadati; Pseudomonadota; Gammaproteobacteria; Enterobacterales; Morganellaceae. The record is from RNAcentral.
UGUUCGGGACGACCUGAAUAAACGUUAUAAAUAAUGGGGACGACCCCG